This 497-nucleotide ribosomal RNA is filed under the name uncultured bacterium. RNAcentral's name for it is "partial 16S ribosomal RNA". It matches the Rfam family "Bacterial small subunit ribosomal RNA", at positions 28 to 507 of the family's 1533-position model. The record is from RNAcentral.
GAUGAAUGCUGGCGGCGUGCCUAAUACAUGCAAGUCGAGCGAACAGACGAGGAGCUUGCUCCUCUGACGUUAGCGGCGGACGGGUGAGUAACACGUGGAUAACCUACCUAUAAAACUGGGAUAACUUCGGGAAACCGGAGCUAAUACCGGAUAAUAUCUUGAACCGCAUGGUUCAAUAGUGAAAGACGGUUUUGCUGUCACUUAUACAUGGAUCCCCGCCGCAUUAGCUAGUUGGUAAGGUAACGGCUUACCAAGGCAACGAUGCGUAGCCGACCUGAGAGGGUGAUCGGCCACACUGGAACUGAGACACGGUCCAGACUCCUACGGGAGGCAGCAGUAGGGAAUCUUCCGCAAUGGGCGAAAGCCUGACGGAGCAACGCCGCGUGAGUGAUGAAGGUCUUCGGAUCGUAAAACUCUGUUAUUAGGGAAGAACAAAUGUGUAAGUAACUAUGCACGUCUUGACGGUACCUAAUCAGAAAGCCACGGCUAACUACGUG